GGUCAGGGAGUCAGGCGCCCUGCUGUCAUCUCCGGGCAUCAAAUUUAAUAGCCAUCCGGACAGACAUUAACUAACAGAAGGAAGGAAAGGAUGAGCAGGAGAAGGCAGCAAUCCGCAGCUUCCCAUUUCAACAAUGCACCCCUCGAGCAUCUCCUAGAAGCAGUUCAUGGAUGUCCCCUUCCCCAUGGAUUGGCUGCAGGAGGCCAUCCCAGCUGACCGCUGCAGCCUGGGAGGUAGCCAGGGCGGUCAGCACCAGUGGGGUGCAGAGGAGGACCACCCUGCGCUGUAGGAAAAGGGUGAAUGACUUAAACUGCACUGCUAGGCACAUCUGAAGCAGACACAUGGGAACAACACCAUCUACAAGUUCUCUCCAAAUGACGCAGCAUUCUGACUUAGAAAUGUAUUGUCACUCCUUCACUGUCACUGGGUCAAAACCCUGGAAUUGGCUUUCGAACAGCACUGAAUAUUAGAGGGAUGUAGAUCACGAAGGAGAAAGAGAAUGAUGACAUUAGACAACUCAAAAUUGAAAAUGGGAGCCUCCGAAAGCAACUGAAGAAGAAAGUACAAGACCAUGAGGCAUGGAGAAACAAGCAGGAGAAAUUAGCAUAGGAUUUGCCCUUAGGCAGAUCACUACUACUGCAACACACUGUUCAUUGCAAUGCAGCAUUCCUCAAUAACAUUCUGGAGCCAGACAGAGGGCAUUUUGAUUAUACACAGGCCACUUAUAGUUUGACAAUACCAAACUGUUGUGACUGCUGAAAUGUAAUAAUGAUACCAAACUAUUGAUUAAAUGAAUGUAAAUCCAAUGGAUGUCAAGCUGUUUGCCGCUUGAUGGAUAUAUUUUGUAAAAUCUAUGGAAGCAUUCCAACUACACGCGUUUAAAACAUUGAGGGUUUUGUAAUGCAAGUUUCAACUUUAUUAAUUCAUCAGUUUAUUCAUAAUGUGCUUCAAUGGAUUUCACACACAGAUCUAUAUGAUAUUGUACAAAUUUUGAAGAAGUUUCAUAUCCAUAGUAAUUUUAGUAAAUAUAACAACCAGAGUGAUUAUAGUGUCAGCACUCAUCCAUCGGCAGAAUAUGAAGCCAGGCCCUAACAAGGAAUUCUUGAAUUAUGAUUUCUAUGAUAUGUUAGUGAAGGAUAUAAUGGAAUAGUAGCUAUCUCAAAGAUCUCACAGGGCUGAUAUUUGUUGGGUCGCUUACACUUUGUCACAAUGUGGAAAGUCUAAUAUUGUUAAAUCCAAAUGAAUUAAAACUAUGGUUAAUCCUUUGAAUGAUUUUUUUUAAAGGAACAAAUUAAAAUUUUGUUCCAAUAAUAGUAACUGUCUGUGUUAUAGUUUUUGUGUUCAACCACCGCCAAUUCCAAUACACAUUGGAGGUUACGCUAGUUAAGCUAAGAGUGAUUGAAGGAAAUCUAAACACUACUAAUAGGUGAAUAGUAAAGAAAGGACAACAGGAAAGUUCAGUCAUUAUUAACUUGGUAACUUUAAUUAAAUAUGAUCAGAUUUAUGUGCAACUUCCGUUUUGGUCAAACAAGGUAGCAGCAUAGUUAGCAUGAAUUGUUAAUUACUGUAGCUCUCUGUCUCUCCAGUAUGAUUCAUUAUAUAAAAGAGCUGUGUACGGUCUAGAAGCAAAGCUUACAUGUGAAGAAAAUCUAAGGAUUAAAAAUUAACAACGUAGGCUUUUCCUAGAUGUUGCAGUACCUGAGAUCAUGUUGAAGAGCAGGUUGUAAACUACAGAGUGAGCAAUGAACACCUGGGCAACAGGAACCAAAAAAUGGUAGAGAAGAUGCAGAAAUGGAGGGGAAAAGAAGAGGGAUCAAGAUGAAGGUGAGCCAGAAACAAAGGCUUUGGUGGUAACAGCAGAGAGAUCCUUAAACUGCAUUUCCAAUGAAGUUAGGAAAGCCGAUCUGUGAAGCCCCGAGGAAAUUCUCGGUAUGUCAUGCAAUUACUUAGCAAGAUUCAACAGAUAAUUAAAGCUAAUUCAGUUUUGCUCUCCACCCAUGCUGCCAGAUCUGCUGAGUAUUUCCAGCACUUUCUGUUUUAAUAUCAGAUUUCCAGCAUUUGCAGUAGUUUGCUUUUAUUUUGAUGUGUCUUUAUUAACAGGUUGAACUGGAUUUUAAUGCAAAGCCACCCUGAGAGAUGGGGGCGGUUGCUGAUAAUAAAUCUGCCAGUGGCUUUUUAACUGA
Long non-coding RNA from Carcharodon carcharias (great white shark), 2183 nucleotides. RefSeq lists it as uncharacterized. The record is from RefSeq and is a predicted model, not a curated record. The transcript has 2 exons. NCBI's taxonomy places the organism in Eukaryota, Metazoa, Chordata, Chondrichthyes, Lamniformes, Lamnidae.